GAGACAUAAUGUUCCAUGAUUUCUAUACAGAGAUCUUAUGGAAUGGAUUGAUUUAGAUAUUUUCCUGAUCUCCAUGUAACUACUGUAAACGUCAAGGAAACCUUUUGUUAUUAUUAUGAUCAAGUGUUUGUUGUGACAUGGGAUUUGGUCUUGCAUAAGAGCUACAGGUGUAGGACUUUUACGGGUCGUAUCCUUAUUCUCAACAUAACGCUGGGAUUUGAUGAUAAGGCAUGUUCAGGGUUUGUGGGGAGGUUCACAGACAUCCUCAGGGAGGAUACGAAGUAUUGAAAUGUCCGGAUGAAUAAAAGAGACAGUCAUCUGUGCAGCAUCAAUGCAAAGAAAGACCAUAGAAGAGCAACAAAACUGAAGUCCUGCUUGAGAUCCCUGGAUGAGUACUCCAGGUUGACAGUCUGGAAGGACCAGACAAGGGAGUCCUUAACAGAGAGUGCACCCCUUCAGAUAUCAGAGGUGUUUGCAGACAGCGAUGACGAGGGUCCUGUUAUUUCAAUGGAGGCCAACCGAGAAGUUGUAUGCCAAAUGGUAUUUGGACACAAAAAGGCUGGUCUGGCUAAUGUGAGAAGACCAACCAAUGCCAAGCUUGAGUUGGAUCCUUCCAGAACUUUCAAGAAAUUCUUGUCUUGAGCCAUGUGGUAAACACUUGAAAGGAAUGAUAAAUGGGACUUAUUGCUUUAAAUGAGGACCCAAACACCAAAUGGAAAGUUCACAAUUCUACUAACACAAUACAGCAGAGAUAGAGUCUAACUGGUAUCCCCUCAUCCUGGUUCCUGUUCAUCCAUGGCAAUAUAGAAAGAAAAGGAGGAUUGAGGGAAAGUAAGUUCUCUGAACUGGUGAACAUAAUCCGUAGGUACUGUAGAGCGAACAGUUAUCACACUCUGUUAUGAGUAUUGAAGAAUAGGAUGAAAUUGCAUACUGCAUCAGGAACCAUCAUGUGAACACUGUUCAAUGUGCGAUAUACUAUAGGCAUAUGAAUAAAAGAAAUUGAUAAUUUGAUUGUUGCUUAUGUUUCAUUUGCCAGCUGUGUAAAUGGGGAUGUUUCAUGAUUUUGGCUCAGUUUAAUAGCCACACUUAUCUUAUGAAACCAUGCAUUGCUUGGGCAUCUCAGGAAUAAAUA
This is an RNA transcript of Haliotis rufescens (red abalone), 1132 nucleotides long. RefSeq lists it as uncharacterized. NCBI's taxonomy places the organism in Eukaryota, Metazoa, Mollusca, Gastropoda, Lepetellida, Haliotidae. The record is from RefSeq and is a predicted model, not a curated record. The transcript has 4 exons.